UGUACAGUCAUGUGGUUAGAGCACUCACCCAUUUUAUUAUGUAUUUGAGAUUCUUGAAAAUAUAAAUAAAAUGGGGGGAAAAACCCUCCAAAGCCAACCAAAACUAAACCAGUUUUUCUUUUGUUAGGAACAAAUUCAGAGACAUUUGGAGAGUUUGAAAAAAGAGAGAGACGAGAUUCUGUUGUAUAAAUCGAGUGGGGAAAAUACAAGCCAGGAACUACUGAAACAGCUCGAAACUGGGAGGCAAAAGAUUGUGGCUGAAUUUCAGCAACUGCACCAGUUUUUGGAGGAACAAGAGCGACUCCUGCUGGCCCAGCUGGAAGAGCUGAAUAAGGAAAUUGAAAAGAGGAGGGAUGAGUAUGUUGCCAAACUAUCUGAGGAACUAUCCUCUUUCAGUUCCCUGAUCAGUGAGAUGGAACAGAAGUGCCAGCUGCCAGCAAGUGAAUUCCUGCAGGACAUCAAAGGCACCUUGAGCAGAUGCGAGAGGGAGAAGUUUCAGAACCCAGUGGCCUUUUCUUCUGAACUGAAAUGGAGAAACUGGGAAUCUUCUCAAAGAAAUGCAUCUCUGGAGACCAG
Molecule: long non-coding RNA, 576 nt
Organism: Mauremys mutica (yellowpond turtle)
Lineage: Eukaryota; Metazoa; Chordata; Testudines; Geoemydidae
Exons: 4
Source: RefSeq, a predicted model, not a curated record